AUUCCCUUAGUAGCGGCGAGCGAAACGGGAAGAGCCCAAACCAACAAGCUUGCUUGUUGGGGUUGUAGGACACUCUAUACGGAGUUACAAAGGACGACAUUAGACGAAUCAUCUGGAAAGAUGAAUCAAAGAAGGUAAUAAUCCUGUAGUCGAAAAUGUUGUCUCUCUUGAGUGGAUCCUGAGUACGACGGAGCACGUGAAAUUCCGUCGGAAUCUGGGAGGACCAUCUCCUAAGGCUAAAUACUCUCUAGUGACCGAUAGUGAACCAGUACCGUGAGGGAAAGGUGAAAAGCACCCCGGAAGGGGAGUGAAAUAGAACCUGAAACCGUGUGCUUACAAGUAGUCAGAGCCCGUUAAUGGGUGAUGGCGUGCCUUUUGUAGAAUGAACCGGCGAGUUACGAUUUGAUGCAAGGUUAAGCAGUAAAUGUGGAGCCGUAGCGAAAGCGAGUCUGAAUAGGGCGUUUAGUAUUUGGUCGUAGACCCGAAACCAGGUGAUCUACCCUUGGUCAGGUUGAAGUUCAGGUAACACUGAAUGGAGGACCGAACCGACUUACGUUGAAAAGUGAGCGGAUGAACUGAGGGUAGCGGAGAAAUUCCAAUCGAACCUGGAGAUAGCUGGUUCUCUCCGAAAUAGCUUUAGGGCUAGCCUCAAGUGAUGAUUAUUGGAGGUAGAGCACUGUUUGGACGAGGGGCCCCUCUCGGGUUACCGAAUUC
This 714-nucleotide ribosomal RNA is filed under the name Staphylococcus aureus. RNAcentral's name for it is "partial 23S ribosomal RNA". It matches the Rfam family "Bacterial large subunit ribosomal RNA", at positions 234 to 946 of the family's 2925-position model. Lineage: Bacteria; Bacillati; Bacillota; Bacilli; Caryophanales; Staphylococcaceae. The record is from RNAcentral.